UAGGGAAUCUUCCACAAUGGACGCAAGUCUGAUGGAGCAACGCCGCGUGAGUGAAGAAGGUUUUCGGAUCGUAAAGCUCUGUUGUUGGUGAAGAAGGAUAGAGGCAGUAACUGGUCUUUAUUUGACGGUAAUCAACCAGAAAGUCACGGCUAACUACUUGCCAGCAGCCGCGGUAAUACGUAGGUGGCAAGCGUUGUCCGGAUUUAUUGGGCGUAAAGCGAGCGCAGGCGGAAUGAUAAGUCUGAUGUGAAAGCCCACGGCUCAACCGUGGAACUGCAUCGGAAACUGUCAUUCUUGAGUGCAGGAGAGGAGAGUGGAAUUCCAUGUGUAGCGGUGGAAUGCGUAGAUAUAUGGAAGAACACCAGUGGCGAAGGCGGCUCUCUGGUCUGCAACUGACGCUGAGGCUCGAAAGCAUGGGUAGCGAACAGG
Molecule: ribosomal RNA, 429 nt
Filed under: bacterium
Lineage: Bacteria
Description: partial 16S ribosomal RNA
Rfam family: Bacterial small subunit ribosomal RNA
Source: RNAcentral